AACGCACCUUGCGCCCCUUGGUAUUCCGAGGGGCACACCCGUUUGAGUGUCGUGAAAUUCUCAACUCAAAUGCUUUUGCGAGCAUUUGGGCUUGGACUUGGGGGUCUGCCGGCCUGUCUCGGCUCCCCUUGAAUGCAUUAGCUCGGACCCUUGCGGAUCAGCUAUCGGUGUGAUAAUUGUCUACGCCGUGGUUUGUGAUGCCACCUUUCAGGUGUUGAGGGAUCGGCUUCUAAUCGUCCCCCCCGGGACAAUUAACUUUGAAAUCUGACCUCAAAUCGGGUGGGACUACCCGCUGAACUUAA
Molecule: ribosomal RNA, 302 nt
Filed under: uncultured fungus
Lineage: Eukaryota; Fungi
Description: eukaryotic LSU rRNA
Source: RNAcentral